GUCCCAGUGAAUCUCCCAGCAGCCCUCGAGUUUCCCUUCUGCCUUGGCUGCCCAGAAGGAAGCUUCACAACCUUUUGUGCUGCCUUUGCCUUAGCCCAGCUUUUCCUCUGUCACAUCAGAUAAUGAUGUUUGAACUGAACAAUUAAGGGUUCUGAAAU
RNAcentral lists this long non-coding RNA (158 nucleotides) under Sus scrofa (pig). RNAcentral describes it as "lncRNA (ENSSSCG00070019147.1)". Lineage: Eukaryota; Metazoa; Chordata; Mammalia; Artiodactyla; Suidae. The record is from RNAcentral.